AACGAACGCUGGCGGCAUGCCUAACACAUGCAAGUCGAACGAACCCUUCAGGUCUAUUCGCGCCCGGUUGCGUCACGCGAGGGAACCUGCCCUUAUGUUCGGAAUACCUCUCCGACAGGGGUACUAAUACCGGAUCAUGUCUUCGGCCCAAUGAUUUAUCGCCUUUGGAUGUGCCCGCGUUGCAUUAGCUAGUUGGGAGGGUAAAAGCCUACCAAGGCGACCAUCCAUAGCUUGUCUGAGAGGAUGAUCAGCCACACUGGGACUGAGAAACGGCCCAGACUCCUACGGGAGGCAGCAGUGGGGAAUAUUGGACAAUGGGCGAAAGGCUGAUCCAGCACUGCCGCGUGAGUGAUGAAGGCCUGAGGGUUGUAAAGCGCUUUUACCCGGGAUGAUAAUGACAGUACCGGGAGAAUAAGCCACGGCUAACUCCGUG
RNAcentral lists this ribosomal RNA (433 nucleotides) under uncultured bacterium. RNAcentral's name for it is "partial 16S ribosomal RNA". It matches the Rfam family "Bacterial small subunit ribosomal RNA", at positions 29 to 507 of the family's 1533-position model. The record is from RNAcentral.